This is a non-coding RNA of Mycena metata, 90 nucleotides long. NCBI's taxonomy places the organism in Eukaryota, Fungi, Basidiomycota, Agaricomycetes, Agaricales, Mycenaceae. The record is from the annotation of a GenBank genome assembly.
CACCUGAUAGCACAUGGUGUGCACCUGCAUCACUUGGGCGAGAAAAAUAAUUGAGCAGCAGGAAGCCCCGUUCGAUUCGGGGUCGGGUGA